This 400-nucleotide unclassified non-coding RNA is filed under the name Hevea brasiliensis (rubber tree). The record is from RNAcentral. Lineage: Eukaryota; Viridiplantae; Streptophyta; Magnoliopsida; Malpighiales; Euphorbiaceae.
GACAUAUCUAUGGCCCAUUGCCGCUUUGCACAAAUGAAUCAAUUGUAAUAUAUAUCACUGUGGCUGGUUCUGUGAUUCCAAUGCGCGUGUUGGAGUCUGAUUCGAUUGGUGAAGUGAAACUUAAGCUCCAAACUUGUAAAGGGUUUGUAGUUAAGAUGCAGAAGCUAGUUUUUGGUGGCAGAGAGCUGGCAAGAAAUGAAUCAUUGGUCAGGGACUAUGGAGUCAGUAAUGGGAAUGUGUUGCAUAUGGUCUUCAAGAUCUCUGAUCUCCUCGUCAUCACUGUUAGGACCACUUGUGGCAUGGAAUUUGAAUUCCCUGUUGACAGGCAUCAAGAUAUUGGGUACCUUAAACGUACCAUAUUGAAGAAAGGUAAAGACUUUGGUGAGGAACUUAAGGUUCA